This 228-nucleotide ribosomal RNA is filed under the name Escherichia coli. RNAcentral describes it as "partial 16S ribosomal RNA". It matches the Rfam family "Bacterial small subunit ribosomal RNA", at positions 1318 to 1533 of the family's 1533-position model. Lineage: Bacteria; Pseudomonadati; Pseudomonadota; Gammaproteobacteria; Enterobacterales; Enterobacteriaceae. The record is from RNAcentral.
CCAUGAAGUCGGAAUCGCUAGUAAUCGUGGAUCAGAAUGCCACGGUGAAUACGUUCCCGGGCCUUGUACACACCGCCCGUCACACCAUGGGAGUGGGUUGCAAAAGAAGUAGGUAGCUUAACCUUCGGGAGGGCGCUUACCACUUUGUGAUUCAUGACUGGGGUGAAGUCGUAACAAGGUAACCGUAGGGGAACCUGCGGUUGGAUCACCUCCUUAUCUUAAAGAAGC